Molecule: ribosomal RNA, 449 nt
Filed under: uncultured bacterium
Lineage: Bacteria
Description: partial 16S ribosomal RNA
Rfam family: Bacterial small subunit ribosomal RNA
Source: RNAcentral
AAUGAACGCUGGCGGCAGGCCUAACACAUGCAAGUCGAACGGAUCCUUCGGGAUUAGUGGCGGACGGGUGAGUAACGCGUGGGAACAUACCCAAAGGUACGGAAUAGCCUCGGGAAACUGGGAGUAAUACCGUAUGUGGUCGAGAGACGAAAGAUUUAUCGCCUGUGGAUUGGCCCGCGUUGGAUUAGGUAGUUGGUGGGGUAAUGGCCUACCAAGCCGACGAUCCAUAGCUGGUUUGAGAGGAUGAUCAGCCACACUGGGACUGAGACACGGCCCAGACUCCUACGGGAGGCAGCAGUGGGGAAUCUUAGACAAUGGGGGAAACCCUGAUCUAGCCAUGCCGCGUGAUCGAUGAAGGCCUUAGGGUUGUAAAGAUCUUUCAGAUGGGAAGAUAAUGACGGUACCAUCAGAAGAAGCCCCGGCUAACUCCGUGCCAGCCGCCGCCGUAA